Molecule: ribosomal RNA, 610 nt
Filed under: Limnobacter sp.
Lineage: Bacteria; Pseudomonadati; Pseudomonadota; Betaproteobacteria; Burkholderiales; Burkholderiaceae
Description: bacterial SSU rRNA
Rfam family: Bacterial small subunit ribosomal RNA
Source: RNAcentral
CGGGGGGUGCCUUUAACAUGCAAGUCGAACGGUAACAGGGAGCUUGCUCCGCUGACGAGUGGCGAACGGGUGAGUAAUACAUCGGAACGUGCCCAGUAAUGGGGGAUAGCUCGGCGAAAGCCGGAUUAAUACCGCAUACGCCCUGAGGGGGAAAGUGGGGGACCGCAAGGCCUCACGUUAUUGGAGCGGCCGAUGGCUGAUUAGCUAGUUGGUAGGGUAAAGGCCUACCAAGGCGACGAUCAGUAGCUGGUCUGAGAGGACGAUCAGCCACACUGGGACUGAGACACGGCCCAGACUCCUACGGGAGGCAGCAGUGGGGAAUUUUGGACAAUGGGGGAAACCCUGAUCCAGCAAUGCCGCGUGUGCGAAGAAGGCCUUCGGGUUGUAAAGCACUUUUGUCAGGGAAGAAAUCCUUUGGGCUAAUACCCUAGGGGGAUGACGGUACCUGAAGAAUAAGCACCGGCUAACUACGUGCCAGCAGCCGCGGUAAUACGUAGGGUGCAAGCGUUAAUCGGAAUUACUGGGCGUAAAGCGUGCGCAGGCGGUUGUGUAAGACAGGUGUGAAAUCCCCGGGCUUAACCUGGGAAUUGCAUUUGUGACUGCACGACUA